Molecule: long non-coding RNA, 741 nt
Filed under: Mytilus galloprovincialis (Mediterranean mussel)
Lineage: Eukaryota; Metazoa; Mollusca; Bivalvia; Mytilida; Mytilidae
Source: RNAcentral
AGAAGCUAAACAGAUAGUUUCUGUUUCGAAUGAUCUCCUUGUUUCAAACAGACCAUCGUACGCCAGCAAAGUUGUCCGCUCAUUUAGUCACGAGAAUACACAAACUCGCAUGACUUGGCCAAUUGAUGCGGACAAUUUCACAAUGCUGCCUGUUGAAACAGAACCAACCGAUAAAAUAUUAAUUCCAAGAAAACCAAAAUCUUCCAAAACCAGUACUCAGUCAACUCAAUCUUCCCUAAAGAGCUCAAUAUCAUUAAAAAAAAAAUGAAAUCAGAAUAAAAAAGAAACAGACCAUACGCCAGCAAAAUACACAGUUGGGGCGGUGAAUCUGUCUGGGAUCUUCCCAGUGACAUAGAUGAUUCUUCCACCUCAAAAAGUCUUCCUUCAUCUGCAUCUAAGAAGUUAUCUUCUUCGUCCAGUACAAAGUCUACUAGAGCCCCAUCUCCUCUUCGUUCUCCAGAAAAGAAGGAUGUCCAAAAGAAGCCAGUAAAUACAUCCUCUCAGAAGUCUUCUGAUUCGAGGUCGCGGGGUAGGGGUCGAGGCGGAGUAAAACCAGCUGCGUGUGGUCCUGGAGAUCGACGACUCUCCUCGCACAACAGAUUUUCAACACUUGUCGAUCGAAACUGAAAUGGAAAUCCGAAAGUGUUCCGCCACCCGAAAGAUCACGAUCUCAGGGUGAGCGAAAUAAGAAUGCUGGCAAACUCGACAGCAUUCGCCCUUCUUUUAUUAAAUAAUGACAAA